AGAUUAAACUGAAGAGUUUGAUCAUGGCUCAGAUUGAACGCUGGCGGCAGGCUUAACACAUGCAAGUCGAGCGGUAACAGAUCUAGCUUGCUAGAUGCUGACGAGCGGCGGACGGGUGAGUAACGCGUAGGAACCUGCCCAGUAGUGGGGGAUAGCCCGGUGAAAACCGGAUUAAUACC
This 179-nucleotide ribosomal RNA is filed under the name Oleiphilus sp. HI0080. RNAcentral's name for it is "partial 16S ribosomal RNA". It matches the Rfam family "Bacterial small subunit ribosomal RNA", at positions 1 to 170 of the family's 1533-position model. Lineage: Bacteria; Pseudomonadati; Pseudomonadota; Gammaproteobacteria; Oceanospirillales; Oleiphilaceae. The record is from RNAcentral.